This 100-nucleotide ribosomal RNA is filed under the name Acanthosepion pharaonis. Lineage: Eukaryota; Metazoa; Mollusca; Cephalopoda; Sepiida; Sepiidae. The record is from RNAcentral.
CAUUGAAACACCGGUUUCCGUACGAUCGCUGAAGUUAAGCAACGUGGAACCGAGUUAGUACCUGCAUGGGUGACCGCUUGGGAAUAACAGAUACUGUAAG